Molecule: ribosomal RNA, 253 nt
Filed under: uncultured bacterium
Lineage: Bacteria
Description: partial 16S ribosomal RNA
Rfam family: Bacterial small subunit ribosomal RNA
Source: RNAcentral
UACGUAGGGUGCAAGCGUUAAUCGGAAUUACUGGGCGUAAAGCGUGCGCAGGCGGUUUUGUAAGUCUGACGUGAAAUCCCCCGGCUCAACCUGGGAGUUGCGUUGGAGACUGCAAGGCUAGAAUCUGGCAGAGGGGGGUAGAAUUCCACGUGUAGCAGUGAAAUGCGUAGAGAUGUGGAGGAACACCGAUGGCGAAGGCAGCCCCCUGGGUCAAGAUUGACGCUCAUGCACGAAAGCGUGGGGAGCAAACAGG